UACGGAGGGUGCGAGCGUUGUCCGGAAUCACUGGGCGUAAAGGGCGCGUAGGCGGCCGGAGAAGUCGGUGGUGAAAGCUCGGGGCUCAACUCCGAGUCGGCCACCGAUUCUGUUCGGCUCGAGUUUGGUAGAGGCAGAUGGAAUUCCUGGUGUAGCGGUGAAAUGCGCAGAUAUCAGGAAGAACACCCGUGGCGAAAGCGGCUCUCUGGAACGGUACUGACGCUGAGACGCGAAAGCGUGGGGAGCGAACAGG
Molecule: ribosomal RNA, 253 nt
Filed under: uncultured bacterium
Lineage: Bacteria
Description: partial 16S ribosomal RNA
Rfam family: Bacterial small subunit ribosomal RNA
Source: RNAcentral